UUUAAACUUCUCAACCAUAGUGUAGACCUGCAUUGAGAAGACAAGCAAGAAAAAAAAUUAAUUUAUAAUAGUGUUUUUCUCAAACAUAUUUAUUCACUUUUUCAAGAAUAAACCCUAUUCAUUGCAUACUUGGGACUACAAUACUUUCAGUUGGGUUCCAAUUUUGCAAUGGACAGGCAACAGGUUUGUAAUUUGCAACUAUUGAUACAUUUUCAGCAUGAGCUUGUUUGUUGUGAAUCUUAAUCACAAAACUGCAUAAUUUGCAGUUUGCAUGGAUUUAUUGCUCUUUGUUGCUGUUAUGCUGUGAAUGACAGCAAGUACCUUAGCCCUUUAAAUACCAAUUUAUUGGCUCAUAAUGUCAAUUUAAAUACAUUGUAAAGCCUAAAAAUUCAGUAAGCAUGAGAAAUUCCAAAACUAGCAAAAUUCCCCUACAAAAUUUUAUGAAAAAGAAGAAAACAAGGCACUUCUUUUCCAAUCAGACAAUUAGCCUACUUCACAUUGGAAGUGAGAUUAAUCAGUAUCACCAAAGUUCUAUUUCAAACAAUCUUCAAUUGGUCAUUAAUUCAUAUCAUGGGAUCUAAACUGUCACAACACAUUACCUUCCUUACUCCAGAUGUCAAUCCUAAGUUCGAAAGGUCCUUCUUCUCCACAUAUUUCCAGCUUGGACCUUCAUUUUUGUGCUUACUAAGAAACUCACUCAUCCCAACUUCAUGAAAAGAGAAAACAAAUAAAUAAUAGUUAUAUAAAUCACGUCACUAUAUACUCAUCAACAAACCAAUGCUAAUAUUGUUCUACUACUAUUAUUAUUAUUAUUCAUAGAAAAUUAUUAAUAAAAAAUUCUGACCAUUUCAUAAUGCGAUAACAAUGUUGAAUUAUCAGAGUCUUGCUUUUCUAGUACAAACUUAUGGUGCAGAAAAUGAGAAAGGGAGAGUAUGUUAAGCUCCUUACCUUUAAGAUGUAUUACCAGCAAUUCCACAUAAACCUUGAGACGG
This 992-nucleotide unclassified non-coding RNA is filed under the name Hevea brasiliensis (rubber tree). The record is from RNAcentral. Lineage: Eukaryota; Viridiplantae; Streptophyta; Magnoliopsida; Malpighiales; Euphorbiaceae.